GGGACAACGAAAAGGGACCUGAUGUAGACCCUGUUGAGGAGGUUGUAUUGAAUGAUACCACUGAUGAAGAAACCCCAACUGCAGUCGAGGCAUGAAUCCUUUGAUAAAAAGCUUAUCUGACUUGCCUAAUGGAACUGCUGGAUUUCCUGUCCAUAUCAGUAUGUAACCAGCAUCCUCGGAUUAUCAUCAUUUGUAAGAAAACCUGCUCUUGCACCGUUGCACGUGUCCUACCCGUGGCUCUGUAAGUUGUCUCAACGUCAAUUUUGAUCGCGUGGUCUGUGGAAUUAUUGGAUUAGAUGAAGGUAAGGCCAAUGCUGUGACUUUGGUUCAAUUUUUU
This 337-nucleotide unclassified non-coding RNA is filed under the name Hevea brasiliensis (rubber tree). The record is from RNAcentral. Lineage: Eukaryota; Viridiplantae; Streptophyta; Magnoliopsida; Malpighiales; Euphorbiaceae.